AUCACCUGCAGAGAGAGAGAGUAAAACAACGUUAAGUAUGUAAAUAUAUUAAUCAGAGGCGGUGCUUUAACCACUGAAUGAUACAAUAUCACGCAUGCAAAGGUCGAGUAGCAAAACCAUCAAAGUCACUCCGAUGACCUGGACCGGUCUUUAUCUUCUGGUGUCAUCAGAGGAUCUGAUCUGCAGAACAUCUCAUCAUCUCAUGAGGAUUCAUAGAAACGUAGUUACAUCUGUAACUUUUGUUGUUGUUUUGUUUUUUAUCCUUCCUGACCACCAGAGGCGAAGCUUUAAGCACUCUGGGAAGAGGACCACACCCGGUGAAUUGGGAGACGGUACCCUCACUAAAUAGUCCUUGGCACAAAUGACCUUCAGGGAAACCUCUCUCAAGGUUGCCCAAAACGUGGAGACACCUCUCGUUUCAUAGCACCUCCCUCCACACGACCAUGUUGAUAACAUUCUCAAUCUGAGGACCACCAAGACACACAAACGCAACAGACUUCUUCUUCAUCAGAGGUUUAGGGGCGACAGCGGAGCUCUAUUGGGACACGCUCUGUGUAAGAAGAAAGGCUGAGAGCUCCAGUUACACCCAAAACAUCACGACAGACACUGUGAAGGUGAACAGCACUGUUCCUCCUGAAGCUGUCCACGCUGAUGUCGUCCUCUCUGCAGCCGUCCACAGUGGUCAGCGGGAAGGAGAACUCAGAGGACCUGUUGUGACGGGGUAGAGGGAUCUCCAGCAGGCCGUCCAGUUCCCCCUGUCUGACCAACACACACACACUGAGAGGCUCCUCCCAGUGCUCCUCCCAGUAACCCCCCCUCUGAGGCUGGCUGGCAUGGUGGAACGGGUGGGACAGCAGCGGCUGCCUAUUGUUCUGGUACCUCAGGCUGUUGGGGGGUGACAGGGCCCAUGAUGCACCGCUCAGGGGGCGACUCUGACAGAUCCAUUGCCAGUCUGUCGUCUGUGGGAAACCAUAUGAACUCAGUCAAAUUACACUAUCAAUGAAUACUACAGCAGUCUGACAUCUAUCAACUAUUUUAUUAUGGAGAGAAUAGAAGAUAAUUAUCAAGUUCAAGUUCUUCUUGCCAAAUCAGAAGCAGGUCACAACAGUAUUAAAUAUGUUCAAGUCAAAAUCCUACACUUCUCUGUGUCCUGAUAAUGGGCGAGAGGAAGUUACCUGGCUCAGACUCCAGCUGUGUCUGUUGAUGGGUUGCCGUCUGCCUUGGCUGCGGACACAACCCACCCAGAAGGCCACGCCCCCUCUGCUCACAGCCAUUCACCACAGGGGCUGAGCUAACCCCAGUCACCAGCUGACCAUCACCUGCAGCACCCACAGGAGGACACGGCAGAACAGCACAGAGAGUCUACUCAGGACGUACAACUCUGGAUGACCGUCAGAUGCAGCCGCAAGACCUCGACACAC
Non-coding RNA from Labrus bergylta (ballan wrasse), 1421 nucleotides. NCBI's taxonomy places the organism in Eukaryota, Metazoa, Chordata, Actinopteri, Labriformes, Labridae. The record is from RefSeq and is a predicted model, not a curated record.